UUCACGCCAUUCUCCUGCUUCAGUAGCUGAGUAGCUACCUCCCGGAGUAGCUGGGACUACAGGCGCCUGCCACCACGCCCAGCUAAUUUUUUGUAUUUUUAGUAGAGACAGGGUUUCACCAUGUUAGCCAGGAUGGUCUCGAUCUCCUGACCUCGUGAUCCACCCUCCUUGGCCUCCCAAAGUGCUGGGAUUACAGGCAUGAGCCACCGCACCUGGCCAAAUGACUGGUUCUUUAAAGAAAAAUGAAGAAUAAAAUCUGGGACUGGAUGGAAAGCUCAGUAUUGUGUCCGGAAUUGGUGGGUUCUUGGUCUCACUGACUUCAAGAAUGAAGCUGCGGACCCUCGCGAUAAGGAGUGGAUACUUCAAAAAUGCUUCUUUGGGGCCUGAAAGCGGCAUAUGUAAUUAAAGGCUGUUCAUUGUUACUCCACAUUCCUUUUGUAAGGAUCCAUGUGAUUGUUCCCACGGCCUGGAAGUCUCUUCCCUGACUUGUUCCAUGAUCAACCUCUACUCACCCUUCAAGGCUCAGCUCAAAUGCCCCUUGCCCCAGAAACCUUCCACAAGUCAUGAAGGCAUCACUGAACCCCAUUUCCAGGAUGAGCCCACAGCACUGCAUACAAUGAGUUGAGGAGUAAUUAUUUGUAUCUGGUCCAGGUUCCCAAUGAUGAACUCCUUGAGAAUAGAAACACCAUCAUGUUCAUCUUGGAAUCCUCAGUGACUGACACAGAGCUUGCUGUACAAGAAGCCCUCAAAAAAUGUGUACUGAAUGAAUAAAAUGCA
Long non-coding RNA from Pongo pygmaeus (Bornean orangutan), 777 nucleotides. RefSeq lists it as uncharacterized. The transcript is spliced from 4 exons. NCBI's taxonomy places the organism in Eukaryota, Metazoa, Chordata, Mammalia, Primates, Hominidae. The record is from RefSeq and is a predicted model, not a curated record.